This 404-nucleotide ribosomal RNA is filed under the name uncultured bacterium. RNAcentral's name for it is "bacterial SSU rRNA". It matches the Rfam family "Bacterial small subunit ribosomal RNA", at positions 120 to 518 of the family's 1533-position model. The record is from RNAcentral.
UGCAACCUACCUUAGUACAGGGGAAUAACCUUUCGAAAGGGAGACGUAACACCCCAUGGUAUUGAUUUAAGGCAUCUUAGAUUAAUUAAAUAUUUAUAGGUGUAAGAUGGGCAUGCGUAUGAUUAGCUAGUUGGUAAGGUAACGGCUUACCAAGGCGACGAUCAUUAGGGGUUCUGAGAGGAAGGUCCCCCACACUGGUACUGAGACACGGACCAGACUCCUACGGGAGGCAGCAGUGAGGAAUAUUGGUCAAUGGGCGCAAGCCUGAACCAGCCAUGCCGCGUGCAGGAAAAGACGGCCUUAUGGGUUGUAAACUGCUUUUACAUAAGACUAACCGUAUAUUUGCGAAUAUACCUGAAUGUAUUAUGAGAAUAAGGAUCGGCUAACUCCGUGCCAGCCGCAGC